AUCGUGAGUAUAUGUUAUUUUGUAAAAAAUACAUUGCAAAUUACACUUGAAAUUUUAAAAUAUUAGAAACUACCGGUGCAAACUCCACUCAACAGAAUCCGACUGCUGCUUGAACUUGACUGAAGAUUUUACUCACGUUUAUAUUUGACCUUUCAUCUGCAUCUCGUUUUUCUACAUUCAAGAAUAAAUGAAUUGUAAUAAAAAUUAUUCGUGGGCAAGUGUUUAACAAAAGAAUUUAUUUUAUGCUAUACGUGAUAUUUAAACUUGAUGAUUGUAAUUUGUUUGAAAUCAAAAGAUGAAUUUCGAAAUUGUAAUUGUAAUUGUAAAACAAAAAAAAAAA
Long non-coding RNA from Apis florea (little honeybee), 340 nucleotides. Lineage: Eukaryota; Metazoa; Arthropoda; Insecta; Hymenoptera; Apidae. The record is from RefSeq and is a predicted model, not a curated record.